UGGGGAAUAUUGCACAAUGGGCGCAAGCCUGAUGCAGCCAUGCCGCGUGUAUGAAGAAGGCCUUCGGGUUGUAAAGUACUUUCAGCGGGGAGGAAGGGAGUAAAGUUAAUACCUUUGCUCAUUGACGUUACCCGCAGAAGAAGCACCGGCUAACUCCGUGCCAGCAGCCGCGGUAAUACGGAGGGUGCAAACGUUAAUCGGAAUUACUGGGCGUAAAGCGCACGCAGGCGGUUUGUUAAGUCAGAUGUGAAAUCCCCGGGCUCAACCUGGGAACUGCAUCUGAUACUGGCAAGCUUGAGUCUCGUAGAGGGGGGUAGAAUUCCAGGUGUAGCGGUGAAAUGCGUAGAGAUCUGGAGGAAUACCGGUGGCGAAGGCGGCCCCCUGGACGAAGACUGACGCUCAGGUGCGAAAGCGUGGGGAGCAAACAGG
This 429-nucleotide ribosomal RNA is filed under the name Chloroflexota bacterium. Its description in RNAcentral is "Chloroflexi bacterium partial 16S ribosomal RNA". It matches the Rfam family "Bacterial small subunit ribosomal RNA", at positions 355 to 776 of the family's 1533-position model. Lineage: Bacteria; Bacillati; Chloroflexota. The record is from RNAcentral.